RNAcentral lists this long non-coding RNA (307 nucleotides) under Mytilus galloprovincialis (Mediterranean mussel). Lineage: Eukaryota; Metazoa; Mollusca; Bivalvia; Mytilida; Mytilidae. The record is from RNAcentral.
CCUUUCAAAUAAACCCAACAUCAAGUAAAUCCCUCAUAAGUUAGUUUACUUUUCUCUUUAUUUCAUUGGUAACAGGAACGUACGUUUCUGAUAUAUCACUAUAUAAAAGUCUAUCCUGUUACCCUUUUGUCUAUCCUGUUACCAAUAUCAGUAUUGCACCUGCAAAUGCUUAAUUGGGAAGAUUAAGACGUUAUAACCUUAAGAUGAGUUCAAACAACGAAAUAUUUCAUUCGUUUUGCACCUAUGUCUUAAGAUAAAAAAAAAUAACGACGUUUUUGUCUACAAUUGUGUAUCCUGUUACUGUAAC